Molecule: small nuclear RNA, 127 nt
Organism: Bufo bufo (common toad)
Lineage: Eukaryota; Metazoa; Chordata; Amphibia; Anura; Bufonidae
Product: U4atac minor spliceosomal RNA
Exons: 1
Source: RefSeq, a predicted model, not a curated record
ACCAUCCUUUUCUUGGGGUUGAGCUACUGAUCAAUGAAUGUUUAAUGAGGUCAGUACUGCUAACACCACAGACAACACAUGAGCAUCACUAGUGCGCAAGCACUGGACUGGUGCAAUUUUUGGAAAC